AAUGAACGCUGGCGGCAGGCCUAACACAUGCAAGUCGAACGAAGCCUUCGGGCUUAGUGGCGGACGGGUGAGUAACGCGUGGGAACAUACCCAAAGGUACGGAAUAGCCUCGGGAAACUGAGAGUAAUACCGUAUGUGCCCUUCGGGGGGAAAGAUUUAUCGCCAAAGGAUUGGCCCGCGUUGGAUUAGGUAGUUGGUGGGGUAAUGGCCUACCAAGCCGACGAUCCAUAGCUGGUUUGAGAGGAUGAUCAGCCACACUGGGACUGAGACACGGCCCAGACUCCUACGGGAGGCAGCAGUGGGGAAUCUUAGACAAUGGGGGAAACCCUGAUCUAGCCAUGCCGCGUGAUCGAUGAAGGCCUUAGGGUUGUAAAGAUCUUUCAGUUGGGAAGAUAAUGACGGUACCAACAGAAGAAGCCCCGGCUAACUCCGUGCCAGCAGCCGCGGUAAUGU
This 453-nucleotide ribosomal RNA is filed under the name uncultured bacterium. Its description in RNAcentral is "bacterial SSU rRNA". It matches the Rfam family "Bacterial small subunit ribosomal RNA", at positions 29 to 526 of the family's 1533-position model. The record is from RNAcentral.